AGGGAAUCUCCCACAAUGGGCGAAAGCCUGAUGGAGCAACGCCGCGUGAGUGAUGAAGGUUUUCGGAUCGUAAAACUCUGUUGUUAGGGAAGAACACCCGAGAGAGGAUCUCGGACUGACGGUACCUAACGAGAAAGCCCCGGCUAACUACGUGCCAGCAGCCGCGGUAAUACGUAGGGUGCAAGCGUUAUCCGGAUUCACUGGGUUUAAAGGGUGCGUAGGUGGGCAGAUAAGUCAGUGGUGAAAUCUUCCGGCUUAACCGGAAAAUUGCCGUUGAUACUAUUUGUCUUGAAUAUUGUGGAGGUAAGCGGAAUAUGUCAUGUAGCGGUGAAAUGCUUAGAUAUGACAUAGAACACCAAUUGCGAAGGCAGCUUACUAUAUAAUUAUUGACACUGAGGCACGAAAGCGUGGGUAGCGAACA
Molecule: ribosomal RNA, 421 nt
Filed under: uncultured bacterium
Lineage: Bacteria
Description: bacterial SSU rRNA
Rfam family: Bacterial small subunit ribosomal RNA
Source: RNAcentral